CACCAGGCUACAGCCACUGCCAGCCAUGUCCUGCCUCUGAAUAAAAACCUACUGUUUUUUUUGUUUUGUUUAGCCUUUUUUUAACGCACACGCCAAACGCGCACUCACCGCUGCUCAUUCUCUUUUAUGCACCUUGAAUUCCUCAGCGUUAAAAAAUAAAAAAACGUGUUGUUCUUCUUUUUUUUUUUUUUAAAUUUCACAUAAGGAGGAGAGAAGAUGUCUUCCGGCGCGCAGGAGAACAGGAGGUCUGCUGGCGUUCAGCUGCUGAGCGCGGCGCUGCCGCUGCUGCUGCUCGCGCUCUCCGGUUGUUCAAGCAUGGAUGUGAAUGUUGCCAGUUCCAUCAAUGCACUGAAUGGGACGACAGUCAAAAUCGCCUGCGUAUUUACUUCCUGCUACAAGAUGGAUACUGCCAAGUUUGACAUGAACUGGACCUACCAAGAAACAGCAAACGAUACAGAGGACAUGUUUAUGAAAUUCGUUAGGAAAAAAGGAAUGGUGUCUGUGCCUUCCGAGCGGUUUGGAGACAGGGUCAUGUUUGCAGGGAACCUUGAUAAAAACGACCUGUCAUUCACCCUAUCAGAUGUACAGCUGGAGGACGAGGGGAUUUACAACUGCCAUGUGAGAAACCCCCCAGACCGCAUCAAGGGACACGGUAUCAUACAGCUCAAAGUCGUUACUGAACUUCCCCCUCCGCGAGAUUCAACCAUUGCAGUUGCAAUAGGGGCAUCGGUGGGCGGGGCAUUAGCUCUGCUGAUCCUGUCCAUGGUGGUAGUGAAAUGUCUCCGUCGGCACCGUAAACAGGAACUGAUUUCAGAGGAGAAGAUGGAGGAAGAGGGAAAACUGGAUGCUGAAGGUGUUGCAGAGGAGGGAACCAAACAACCAUAGCUGGGGCAUUUGAUUGAACCAGCGGUCUGUGGAGCCCUUACCCCAACACCUCCUCUGACAUGUGCGACCCCUUCCUGAAGAUCUAUAGUAACCACUGCUCGAAGCAUCCUACACUGAUUCUUCCAUUAUCUCUGCAUGUGUGUGCGUGUGUGCCAGUGUGAUUCUUUGUGUGUGGGGGUUUACUGGAUGUGUCUAUGUCUGCGUGCGUAUUUCUAUAUGUGUGCAUACGAUGUGUUGCCAGAGGAACACUUUUCUGCAACACAUAUGACAUAAUCCUGUUGCUUGAAGUCAAUAUCAGUUGCAUUUGAAAUCUAUCUCAUGAUAAGGAAUGUUCAUAGCAAACUAUAAGGCUAGGGCUGGGCGGUAUGACCUUAAAUCUAUACCACAGUAUAGUUUGUAACAAAAUUGCAGUAUCGUAAUUUCAUUGCCUUCAGAAAAAUUGUAAAAGUAUCAAUGCAGUUCACAGUGGUUUGGGCAGCAGGGCUUCACACUGGAUGGAAGUGAAAAGCUCAUUACACUGCAGAGCAGGAGGUUGCAUGUUUAUCUGGUGUGCGAUGGUUGUUCGCUCCACUGUCUCACAACAUCCGCAGUCCAACUUGUUGGGUUUAACAUACUGUGAGAUCAGCAGUUUUUCAACAUUGCCUUAAAGCCAUGUCUCUCAGCUGCCUGUAUGGGCAAUCAUGUCUUAACAUAGACGCACAGUUAGCUCAAGUGUAAUGUUCCUUCACAUCAGACAAACAACUAAUAUUCAGCAACUCAGCAAAAUGAUGUCUGUAUGCGUCUCAGUGAUGUCUGCUUGUGUCGGAGCUGGAGAACAUUCUCAAACAUUCCCCACAUAAGGUUUCUUUCAUUUUUUUGUUUUUUUUUUCACUUUUUCACGGAAGACAUUUUGACUUAUUAUAGAGGGAAAAGUAGGUUCUGCUAAUCAUCUCGAUGACGGCUCUGUUUUUAAGUGUCCCAGUAAAUUAUGACAGCAGCUGUGACGAUAAUAACUCCCUUUUCGCUAUAAAGUGCAUUAUAUCUACCCUCUCCAUUUUCUUUGAGUGUAAAAUGUAUACUCUCUGUUGUGCCUGCAAAAACUCCUACAAUGGAACAAAAAAUGUAUUGUCUAACUUUGAUAUGAAAAUAAAAUUAUGAAUAUUUUGAUAUUUAUGACCUUGUUUGAUAGCAUGGGGAAAAAUUGACACAAAACUGAAGGCCUAAUGUUUUUAAUUUGAUGAAUAUAACAAGGCUUGUGUGCUUCAUGUUAAGCAUAACUGCAUUUACGAUAAAAUACCUUUGACCAUACUCAAAAGAGUAGGAUGAAAUGGACCUAUGUAGACACUGCAGGGGUUUGUGUCAACUCGCUGUCGGACACAAGAGAGCAAGGAAACCACAGCUGGCAUCAAUAUCAUGAAAAAUUAUAUUGAAACAGUUUCAAAUAUUCAGCGUUGACAAUAUUGAUAUUUCAGUGUUUUUGACAACACUAGUCCAAUUCAUGUGCACUCCUUUUACAAACAAUCUCAAUAAAUUAUGUCACAUUUUUGAAAAUGUGAAAAUUGCACUGCCAUAGCACUGCCUCUGUCAGCAGUAACAGACAAUGAUAAUGAUUAAGAAGAAUAACAAUAGAGUAAACUACUGCAUAUCUGAACCUUUAAAUAAUGUCACACGUCAAACUGUCUGCUGUGAAUGAGGCAGAUUUUAACAGAAAUGUCUUUAUCUUUUGGGCCUUUUGUCUUUACUUAUCCUCCUGCUUUUUUUAACAUAAAACAAUGUGUGUGUAUGUGUGUGUGCACUUGUAAACCUAACUAACAGUGGACUUGAUCGCUCUAACACUUCCACCAACAGUGGACUUGCAAGCCAACAGGGGACAUUUGUAAAGUCCGCUGUAAUAUUCCUCUGUUAGCAAUACUGACGUGUAUGUGUAUGUGUGCUUGUGCAUAUAUUUGUGUAACAGGAUGCAGUAUGCUGAUGUUGUUAUUGGCCGGUAAGUGAUUAUAUCAAAAUAGACCCCUGCAGCAGAUCAUUUAGGACAGCUUAAUAAGAAUUUACGGUUAAAAUUAAUUCUAUACAAAUACAAACAGCAUAGCCAAAUGUUUGAUAUUGCUACUGUAUGUCUUUACUGGUUAUACCGUCCAUCCCUAUGUACGUGCCUGAACAAAGAAGUUCUAGUAGCAGGUCCAGUCCAGAGUUCAAUCUGUCUGUUGUUGUAUUCACAGGGUUAAAAUUCCUCCAACACUGGAUAAGGACCAUGUUGUUGGAGUGAGGAGAAUUGACCACACAACAACAUGUUUAUCAAACUCCAAAACAUAUUAAAGUCAGAUUUAAAGUGAAAAGCUAACAUUGCAACCACAAUCACAUAACAAAUGUUGAUGCCAACUGGUAAUACAAUAUAAUAUAGUAAUAUUAAUAUUCAUGCUGUAGGGAAAGGGGAAAAAUAAGAUGGCAUUAAUCAAAGUAAUAACAUGAACUACUUUAAGGUGUCCAGUGAUUUUCUAGUCUGUUUCUAGUCUUUCAGUCUAAUUUUCUAGUCUGGUGAAGCCAAACGGAACCUGAAUGUGUUUGAGAGUUCAGAAAACCAAGGCAAUGACAAUAUACACAAAGAUUUGUCAACUAAUCUACUGACAAACCACAAGACAAACAACACAAUAAAACUAAACUAUCGAUGCAACAGGAAACAAAUAUAGGCCAAAUGUAGCCUAGGCAGACCUAAAACAUUCACAAUGCAAGCAUCAUACAACAGCUGAGAGUGUUGGUUGGGGGAGUUUUUUAAAUAGUUAAGAACCAUGACCAGUAGCCAAUUUGAGAGGGCCACGAUCCCCUUUGCGUGCAAAAUGACCAAAAUGUAUCCCCUUUGUUGACCUGCCAUCCCUUUCAGGGAAGUAUCCGUUAUACCUUGAGCAUCUGAUGAGGUUAAAAGCUGACUUCAAUAUGUUCCUUCAAUAGCAGAGGUCCAGCAUAAUGUCAUCAGCGCAACUGUUCCUACCCUCUCGUAAACUUUUUAACCCUGAUUUCUUAUUGAAAAAAAUUAACAAAUGUUGUUCAGUUGAGGUGUCAAUAUUUAAAAUUGUGGCACUCUCUGACACUGAAUGACACUAAACACUGUACAAAAAUUACUGGGGUCACACAUAUGUGGCAAUAAGUCAGUAAUAAACAUGCUAUACCAGGGUUUAAAGGUUGUAAACAAACAAGCUAUACAGAACCAAAGUUAAACAGUAAUCCUUACCAUGAUUCAUCAUACAGAAAGUUUAAUUGAAUUUAGAGCCAGUAGUGCAGGAAAUAACCAUCCUAUCCAUAUACCUAAACAACUGAAUAGAUCUCCCAAAAUGACAUAUAUUACCACUGGUGUUGGCAGCCUUGUACCCUCACUAAUUUGUUCUUGGUAAAGGCUUUGCAAGAUAACUACUUGGUUAGGGUAGAAAUAAACAUCAUGGUUUGGAUUGACUUCUCAUUAGCUUCUCAUUUCAGACAAGGCACAAACAACAGUCUCCUAAAUUAACGCCUUAUAACAAAAGUAAAUAUUGGUUGUGAUGACCUGCUUGAAUUGUCAACCUAUAUUGUUGUUUUUAUGAGGAGGACAUGCUCAAAAUAACACCAUAUGAUCCAAAUUAAAAUAUAAGAUGCUUGAACAGUACAGGACUAACAGAGAAGAGCCUCCCGAAAAACGAUUGGUUUUGUUAUGGGCUUACCACGCCAAUGGACGAUUUUGGUGUUACCCACUAAAACAAGUAGAAUUUAUUAUUUUUGCGACUGUAGCAUGUCAGUGUACUAUACUGCCAUGAAUGCAUGUCAAAGAGUGCAUAUCAAAAAGAACAAAAGAACAAAAAAAGAAUGAAAGAAGAAACUUCUGUUAGGUUUUUGGAGAAAAACACAAAAAAGUGAGUCAGUCAAAGCAUGUUUAAGCUUUCACUCUAUGUAUUACUCAGGUGGCACCAUUUAUGAAAUGUCCUAAGGACUGUAUUUUAUUUUGAUUUAAUUUUUAUACAAAUAUUUUGCUUGGAUUUGUAAUUUAUAUUGUCAGACACAUUUGGUUGUACUUGACAAGUUUCAUCUGCCUCCUGUGAAAUAUCAAGAAACAAAUAAACUUUCAAUAUUUCUUAUAAUGGAAAGAAAAGCUUCCAUACAGACUCUUAUAAUCAACAGUUUUUUUAAAUUCUAACUCCAACGAGAAACCUGUUUUAUAGAGAUUUUAAAAGAAACCUGUUGAACGAUUGCACCAUAGUACAAACAAAGUCAGUGUGUAUUUUAAAGCCGAUUCAAUAUUUUAAAAACAGUUUUGAAACUGACAGCCUAGCUUGGUCUCCAAAGUAACGCCUUGACCUCAAAGCGGUAAUUAAAACUGUAGAUAUUAUUUUGCACAUUAUACCAUUUAUACAAAUUCUAAUAUAAUCAGAACUGAGCAUGUUGAUAUAAGGGGAAUAAGGAAAAUGUAUAAAGCUCACUUUAUUAAUUAAGAUGGAAUAUUGAUAUGUGACGUUCAAACAUGGCAUGGUGAUUGUCUGGUUAAAUGGGAAAUGUAUUGUGUACUUAUUUGAUGUUUUUUUUGGUUGGAGCACCUUAGAAAAAAAAAUCUCAAGAUUAUCUAUAUUUAAUGUCCAUUUUACAUGUUAUAGCAUGUGAGCUUUGUUUAUCUCUGAAUGUCCUACGAUGUUUUAAGUAUAUUGUCACAACAGGCCUAAUGUCUGUAAUGCCUCAAGCUGGUUGGCUGUGUUAUCCAGUUGUAGGACUGUGGCAGUGCUUUCAGAUUUAGAGGCCUGGCCAGUCUGAGUUAAAAAAAAAAAAAAAAGAAAAACUGUGUACAGGUCUAUGUUUAGGCCUAUUAUUAUUUUUCUAUUGUUGAUGAUGUUCUGAUUUAUGUUUUCUACCAUUUUGGGUGAUGUAUUGUGUGAAUUCCUGAAACAACAAAAGCACAUUGUUGGCAUCACAAUAAUAUAUUCACAAUUAUGUGUUGCUCUGUGAUGAUCAAUAAAGUUUAUAUGACCAUUCAACAACAAUCAUGCCAUGAAGAACAACAAUGAAAUGGUGAGUUAACAAAUUUAUCAAAAUAGUUGGUGAAAUGCCCAUAAUUGUAGAGUUGUUUGGUUGUGAGAGCCCCUGACCCUGUCACCUUUCCUAGUGCACGGUUGUGUGUGUGGGUGUGUGUGUGCGUGUGUCUGGUCAUGCAUGUUUAAGUUGCAGGGUCUUGACCCAGAUGGUGAUGGCAGGCUAACAUUUAGGGCAAAAUGCAGUUAUUUAGCACGAAGGUUUUUGUUGGCAAUAUGAAUUUACGUACAUAGAUGUACAUUGUAAAUACUAAUUUCUCAAUCAAAAACAAGUAAACAUUAGUACUGUACCAUUUACUAGAAAUAUUUAUCAUUGUGCAUCACUGUUUACCUCUGGCUAUGAGUUUGCCCUGAAUAGUUGCUCUUGUGUCACUUUAAAUGUUAGUGAACACCAAACCAAUGCUUGCACUGUGCUGCAUCUGAACAAGCAGCUGUCAUUACAUUAUGUCUUUUAAAUAAAGAUGAUUUAGGAAAUGUCA
Molecule: RNA transcript, 6385 nt
Organism: Acanthopagrus latus (yellowfin seabream)
Lineage: Eukaryota; Metazoa; Chordata; Actinopteri; Spariformes; Sparidae
Gene: scn2b
Gene name: sodium channel, voltage-gated, type II, beta
Exons: 6
Source: RefSeq, a predicted model, not a curated record